AGGGUUUGAUCAUGGCUCAGGAUGAACGCUAGCGGCAGGCUUAACACAUGCAAGUCGAACGGUAACAGAAAAAGCUUGCUUUUUGCUGACGAGUGGCGAACGGGUGCGUAACGCGUAUGCAACCUACCUUCUUCAGAGGAAUAGCCCAGAGAAAUUUGGAUUAAUACCUCAUAAUAAUAUUUUUUCGCAUGAUAAUUUAUUUAAAGCUUCGGCGGAGGAAGAUGGGCAUGCGUAACAUUAGUUAGUUGGUGAGGUAACGGCUCACCAAGACUACGAUGUUUAGGGGGUCUGAGAGGAUGAUCCCCCACACUGGUACUGAGACACGGACCAGACUCCUACGGGAGGCAGCAGUGAGGAAUAUUGGUCAAUGGACGAAAGUCUGAACCAGCCAUGCCGCGUGAAGGAUGACUGCCCUAUGGGUUGUAAACUUCUUUUAUAUAGGAAGAAACCCCUCUACGUGUAGAGGGUUGACGGUACUAUACGAAUAAGCACCGGCUAACUCCGUGCCAGCAGCCGCGGUAAUACGGAGGGUGCAAGCGUUAUCCGGAAUUAUUGGGUUUAAAGGGUGCGUAGGCGGAAAUUUAAGUCAGUGGUGAAAGCCUGCAGCUUAACUGUAGAAUUGCCAUUGAAACUGAAUUUCUUGAAUCUAAUUGAAGUAGGCGGAAUAUGACAUGUAGCGGGUGAAAUGCUUAGAUAUGUCAUAGAACACCAAUAGCGAAGGCAGCUUACUAAGUUAGUAUUGACGCUAAUGCACGAAAGCGUGGGGAGCGAACAGGAUUAGAUACCCUGGUAGUCCACGCCGUAAACUAUGAUUACUCGCUAUUGGCGAUACACUGUCAGUGGCUAAGCGAAAGUGAUAAGUAAUCCACCUGGGGGAGUACGAUCGCAAGGUUGAAACUCAAAGGAAUUGACGGGGGCCCGCACAAGCGGUGGAGCAUGUGGUUUAAUUCGAUGAUACGCGAGGAACCUUACCAGGACUUAAAUGCAUUACGAUCGGUUGGGAAACCAACUUUUCUUCGGACGGAAUGCAAGGUGCUGCAUGGUUGUCGUCAGCUCGUGCCGUGAGGUGUCAGGUUAAGUCCUAUAACGAGCGCAACCCCUAUUCUUAGUUGCCAGCGGUUCGGCCGGGGACUCUAAGAAAACUGCCAGUGCAAGCUGCGAGGAAGGUGGGGAUGACGUCAAAUCAUCACGGCCCUUACGUCCUGGGCCACACACGUGCUACAAUGGUAGGUACAAAGGGCAGCCACUUGGUGACAAGGAGCUAAUCUCUAAAACCUAUCUCAGUUCGGAUUGGAGUCUGAAACUCGACUCUAUGAAGCUGGAAUCGCUAGUAAUCGCGCAUCAGCCAUGGCGCGGUGAAUACGUUCCCGGGCCUUGUACACACCGCCCGUCAAGCCAUGGAAGCUGGGAGUACCUGAAGUCGGUAACCAUAUAGGAGCUGCCUAGGGUAAAACUAGUAACUGGGGCUAAGUCGUAACAAGGUAGCCGUA
RNAcentral lists this ribosomal RNA (1490 nucleotides) under uncultured bacterium. Its description in RNAcentral is "bacterial SSU rRNA". It matches the Rfam family "Bacterial small subunit ribosomal RNA". The record is from RNAcentral.